UACGUAGGGUGCAAGCGUUGUCCGGAAUUAUUGGGCGUAAAGAGCUCGUAGGCGGUUUGUCGCGUCGAAUGUGAAAACCCGGGGCUCAACUCCGGGCCUGCAGCCGAUACGGGCAGACUAGAGUUCGGCAGGGGAGACUGGAAUUCCUGGUGUAGCGGUGAAAUGCGCAGAUAUCAGGAGGAACACCGGUGGCGAAGGCGGGUCUCUGGGCCGAUACUGACGCUGAGGAGCGAAAGCGUGGGGAGCGAACAGG
This 253-nucleotide ribosomal RNA is filed under the name uncultured bacterium. RNAcentral's name for it is "partial 16S ribosomal RNA". It matches the Rfam family "Bacterial small subunit ribosomal RNA", at positions 524 to 776 of the family's 1533-position model. The record is from RNAcentral.